This 253-nucleotide ribosomal RNA is filed under the name uncultured bacterium. RNAcentral's name for it is "partial 16S ribosomal RNA". It matches the Rfam family "Bacterial small subunit ribosomal RNA", at positions 524 to 776 of the family's 1533-position model. The record is from RNAcentral.
UACGAAGGGGGCAAGCGUUGUUCGGAUUUACUGGGCGUAAAGCGUCCGCAGGUGGUUUAACAAGUCAGAAGUGAAAGCCCAGGGCUCAACCCUGGAAUUGCUUUUGAAACUGUUAGACUAGAGUAUUGGAGAGGUUAGCAGAAUUCUCAGUGUAGAGGUGAAAUUCGCAGAUAUUGAGAGGAAUACCAAUGGCGCAGGCAGCUAACUGGCCAAUAACUGACACUCAUGGACGAAAGCGUGGGGAUCAAACAGG